This 492-nucleotide ribosomal RNA is filed under the name uncultured bacterium. RNAcentral's name for it is "partial 16S ribosomal RNA". It matches the Rfam family "Bacterial small subunit ribosomal RNA", at positions 29 to 507 of the family's 1533-position model. The record is from RNAcentral.
AGUGAACGCUGGCGGUAGGCCUAACACAUGCAAGUCGAACGGCAGCACAGUAAGAGCUUGCUCUUACGGGUGGCGAGUGGCGGACGGGUGAGGAAUACAUCGGAAUCUACUUUUUCGGGGGGGAUAACGUAGGGAAACUUACGCUAAUACCGCAUACGACCUACGGGUGAAAGCAGGGGAUCUUCGGACCUUGCGCGAUUGAAUGAGCCGAUGUCGGAUUAGCUAGUUGGCGGGGUAAAGGCCCACCAAGGCGACGAUCCGUAGCUGGUCUGAGAGGAUGGUCAGCCGCACUGGAACUGAGACACGGUCCAGACUCCUACGGGAGGCAGCAGUGGGGAAUAUUGGACAAUGGGCGCAAGCCUGAUCCAGCCAUACCGCGUGGGUGAAGAAGGCCUUCGGGUUGUAAAGCCCUUUUGUUGGGAAAGAAAAGCAGCAGGUUAAUACCCCGCUGUUCUGACGGUACCCAAAGAAUAAGCACCGGCUAACUUCGUG